GUAAUUAAAAGCGUGGAAUAUAUUCGUCGAACUAACAGAUAGAGAAUAACGCAGUGUGACGAACGAAUAGAACGAAUUAGCUUCUCGGUUCGUGAUAUCGAGUAAUAAUACCGGAGGCCCCCGAUAAACGAUUUAGUCUGGAAACCUCAAAAGAUAAAUAAAGAAAGGAAGGAUGCAUUGGAAAUUAAUUAUUAUCGGAUUCGCAUAUAUUUUCAUCAUGUUUAUCUCGUUUAAUACAAUUGUUGCGACCGAUCAAUCGAAAUUUUUAUAUUUCGAACGAGAUUUCAAUACAGACAUUACGCAACAAAUAAAUGAACCGUUAAAUAUGGUGCAAGGAGAAAAUAUUAAAAAUUUAAAUGCAAGGAUAAUAAAAGCACCACUUUUAGAGACAGUCAAUCCUUGCAAAAAUGGUCGAAGAAUGGAUACAACUGGAAAAUGCAGAAGGGUAUUGUGAUCGUGCAAGUUUUAUUUGAAAAGAUAUAAUAAUAGAUAAAAUAACUGUUCAUCAUGUGGGACAUCCAUCCGUUCGUUCGUUCAUUUUCAUCGUCAAAACCAAACUACGAAUGGAUGAUAUUCUUUAUUCCGGACUGCGAGAAGAAAGCCAAUCAAGCAAAGGCAAACCGCUUUCUUAUCGAUCGAGUUGUUCUUCUUUCUCUCUUUUUCUCUCUUUCCCUUUUAUAUUCUUCUUCCUUUUCUUCCCCAUCUCACCCUCCCACCCACCCUCUCUCACUCUCUCUCUCUCUCUCUUCUAUGGUUGCUGCGAUGAUGCUGGCAACGAUCAAAACCGUUCAAAUUCUAAACUUGGAAAUCGUCGAAAAGGAAAUCAAGAAUAAAACACGCAGUUUAAAUUCGAGUUUGAUUAAAUAAAAAGGGGGAAUCGAUUAAUCGAAAAAGGAAAUGAAUAAAUUCAUCGACUCUCUCUGUCUCUCUC
Polistes canadensis is the source of this 931-nucleotide long non-coding RNA. RefSeq lists it as uncharacterized. The record is from RefSeq and is a predicted model, not a curated record. The transcript has 3 exons. NCBI's taxonomy places the organism in Eukaryota, Metazoa, Arthropoda, Insecta, Hymenoptera, Vespidae.